Molecule: unclassified non-coding RNA, 343 nt
Filed under: soil metagenome
Description: partial contains 5.8S ribosomal RNA, internal transcribed spacer 2, and large subunit ribosomal RNA
Rfam family: 5.8S ribosomal RNA (bases 1-120)
Source: RNAcentral
GAUGAAGAACGUAGCGAAAUGCGAUAAGUAAUGUGAAUUGCAGAAUCCAGUGAAUCAUCGAAUCUUUGAACGCACAUUGCGCCCGCCAGCAUUCUGGCGGGCAUGCCUGUCCGAGCGUCAUUUCAACCCUCAAACCCCGGGUUUGGUGUUGGACCCAAGUUGUGUGAACAACUGGUCUCAAAGACAAUGACGGCGUCCGUGGGACCCUCGGUGCAACGAGCUUUUAGGAGCACGCAUCGAGUUGCAAGGACCUUCCGGGCCGGUCUCCUUUACCAUUUUACAAGGUUGACCUCGGAUCAGGUAGGAAUACCCGCUGAACUUAAGCAUAUCAAUAAGCGGAGGA